UACGUAGGUGGCAAGCGUUGUCCGGAAUUAUUGGGCGUAAAGCGCGCGCAGGCGGAUUGGUCAGUCUGUCUUAAAAGUUCGGGGCUUAACCCCGUGAUGGGAUGGAAACUGCCAAUCUAGAGUAUCGGAGAGGAAAGUGGAAUUCCUAGUGUAGCGGUGAAAUGCGUAGAUGUUAGGAAGAACACCAGUGGCGAAGGCGACUUUCUGGACGAAAACUGACGCUGAGGCGCGAAAGCCAGGGGAGCGAACGGG
Molecule: ribosomal RNA, 252 nt
Filed under: uncultured bacterium
Lineage: Bacteria
Description: partial 16S ribosomal RNA
Rfam family: Bacterial small subunit ribosomal RNA
Source: RNAcentral